This is a long non-coding RNA of Rattus norvegicus (Norway rat), 1013 nucleotides long. RefSeq lists it as uncharacterized. NCBI's taxonomy places the organism in Eukaryota, Metazoa, Chordata, Mammalia, Rodentia, Muridae. The record is from RefSeq and is a predicted model, not a curated record.
UUUCAUUUCUGUGUCCAGAAACCCCAGAGGCAACCUUAUAUACAUGUUGCCAAAGGAUGCCUAGGAGUCCUAAGAUUCUGUCUGCGGAUUCAGGAAUUUAAACUGACCCUGGCUCUCUCUGGAUGAGGCUGUGUCCCCAAGGUUCCUGCCUAAUCCUUGCUCUGUGGUUCUUUUCCCCUGGUCUCCUGGCUCAUGAAACAAGGCCUGCACAGACCUUGGCUUUGGACUCACCAACUGGCACACCCCACCCCACAAGCCUUCAGCAAAGUCAGAGAGGCGCCUUUCAUGGCUUCAAAAGUUCCACCAGGUUCUCCAGCCGCAGGGGGCUGGAGUGGGUAACUGAAUCCUACUCAAGGCAGAAAAAAAGCGCACAGUGACCUUUUGUCCCAAAAGUUCCCGGCUUUCCCCGGCCAGCCAGCCAGCGGAGGCGGCCCAGCCAGCCAGGAGCGUAAGGAAUUGCAGAUGUGCGCCCAGGGCGGCCGCCUCCCUUAUGCUCCCAAAGCCCGGCUGGACACCUCGGCGUCGCCCGGGGCUGCGCCGCUAUCCGGUCCAGGGCUCCCGCUCCUAGCUUUGGGCUAAGGCUUCGGGGGACAGGAGAUUCGUUUUGCGUCGCAAGCAAGACGGGCAAACCCUUCCGAGCGCACCAGGAACUGUUUGGGACGCCCCGGGGCGGGCUACUGACACCGCACAGAAGGCAAGCUGGACAGCCCCGGAAACCGCCCCAUAAUGGAGAUGCGCUGGCAGACCCGUCUGGCAAGCAGUGAGCCUGCAUCCAAGCCAGGGGCUCCACCGCCCCACUGUGACCUGGAGCCUCGGUUCGACCCUGCGAUGAGUCACGAGCCUGGCUUUCCCCCGCCCUAGUUCCCGACUGUCUCCUCCUCCUCCCCACUGCUCUCCAGGCCCCGCAUCUCUUGAGGAAGGUCACGAGAUCUGGCCCAAUAUUUGCUCACUUUGAAGCCAUCUGUGCGUGUAUGGUUUAACUUAAAAAAUAAAAUAAAACCUUGAAAUCUAAA